This 451-nucleotide ribosomal RNA is filed under the name uncultured bacterium. Its description in RNAcentral is "partial 16S ribosomal RNA". It matches the Rfam family "Bacterial small subunit ribosomal RNA", at positions 29 to 523 of the family's 1533-position model. The record is from RNAcentral.
AGCGAACGCUGGCGGCAGGCUUAACACAUGCAAGUCGAGCGCCUGUAGCAAUACAGGAGCGGCAGACGGGUGAGUAACACGUGGGAACGUACCCUUUGGUUCGGAACAACACAGGGAAACUUGUGCUAAUACCGGAUAAGCCCUUACGGGGAAAGAUUUAUCGCCGAAGGAUCGGCCCGCGUCUGAUUAGCUUGUUGGUAAGGUAACGGCUCACCAAGGCUACGAUCAGUAGCUGGUCUGAGAGGAUGAUCAGCCACACUGGGACUGAGACACGGCCCAGACUCCUACGGGAGGCAGCAGUGGGGAAUAUUGGACAAUGGGCGCAAGCCUGAUCCAGCCACGCCGCGUGAGUGGUGAAGGCCUUAGGGUUGUAAAGCUCUUUCGGCGGGGAAGAUAAUGACGGUACCCGCAUAAGAAGCCCCGGCUAACUUCGUGCCAGCCGCCGCUGUAA